This 497-nucleotide ribosomal RNA is filed under the name uncultured bacterium. RNAcentral describes it as "partial 16S ribosomal RNA". It matches the Rfam family "Bacterial small subunit ribosomal RNA", at positions 28 to 507 of the family's 1533-position model. The record is from RNAcentral.
GAUGAACGCUGGCGGCGUGCCUAAUACAUGCAAGUCGAGCGAACAGACGAGGAGCUUGCUCCUUUGACGUUAGCGGCGGACGUGUGAGUAACACGUGGGUAACCUACCUAUAAGACUGGGAUAACUUCGGGAAACCGGAGCUAAUACCGGAUAAAAUUUCGAACCGCAUGGUUCGAUAGUGAAAGAUGGCUUUGCUAUCACUUAUAGAUGGACCUGCGCCGUAUUAGCUAGUUGGUAAGGUAACGGCGUACCAAGGCAACGAUACGUAGCCGACCUGAGAGGGUGAACGGCCACACUGGAACCGAGACACGGUCCAGACUCCUACGGGAGGCAGCAGUAGGGAAUCUUCCGCAAUGGGCGAAAGCCUGACGGAGCAACGCCGCGUGAGUGAUGAAGGUCUUCGGAUCGUAAAACUCUGUUAUUAGGGAAGAACAAACGUGUAAGUAACUGUGCACGUCUUGACGGUACCUAAUCAGAAAGCCACGGCUAACUACGUG